Fukomys damarensis (Damara mole-rat) is the source of this 896-nucleotide long non-coding RNA. RefSeq lists it as uncharacterized. The record is from RefSeq and is a predicted model, not a curated record. Lineage: Eukaryota; Metazoa; Chordata; Mammalia; Rodentia; Bathyergidae. The transcript is spliced from 3 exons.
CAAUUGAAAUGAUGCUCAACCUUGCCCCACUUCCCUCAAGACUGAGUUGGUGUGGAUUUGGCAAAAUGCUGAGAACCCCCACAAAGGGGUUUGAAUGAGGAGGCCCCCACAAAGGAGCAGCUGAUGUGAAGCUUACCAGACCUAUGCUGACACCAAAGCCAGGAAUGCACUGCAGAUCAAGGGACUCAGUAGAUACCAGCAGCAACAAAGCACUCCUUCAUGCUGGAGACAGAAACCAGGAGUGAUGAGACGGGAAAAGGGACCAAACCACAGGGUCCUGAGUUUCAGCCUUUGGGGCACACUGACCAGGGCACCUCUGCCCUUAGAACCACAGACAGCAGUAUGACCACACCUGGGGAUGUGUGGUGGCCUGGAAAUAGCAUCGUCCUCUGCUCAGUGCAACACCCAUGCUUUUAAACAUCCCAUGCUUCAAGGAGAUAGAUAAGAAGUGCUCUGUGACUGCACGCCAAAGCCCAGGUCAAGCCCAGAUCAAACCCAGGAGUGUAGGUCAAAGCCCAGGAGGUUUUGUAUGGGUCAAAGACCAGAAGAGAGCAGGUGCAAGCAGAAGAAAGGCUGGGAUCCUGGAACUAGAGCUCAGAGAUUGAGGGGGAGGCUAGAGAGAAGCUGAGGUAGUAGAUAAGGCAAAGCAGCAUGAGGCACCUCAUGUUCCCUUAGAAACAUAAUGUGAUACUCCUCGCUCUGGGAAAUGGGGCCUGGGUGGGGUCUCCAAGAGACAUCAUGGUGCAUAUGUGAAGGCAGAAACCACUCUGAGGAAGAAACACCUAUUUUAGGCCUGUGGCAAGUGGCUGCUAUAAGCCAAAGUCUAUCAUCGUCUGUCAUUUUGACCACAGAGGUGGUAGGAGGACAGAGUUUGACUUGAGGACUGUGUAGAAUGA